Molecule: ribosomal RNA, 497 nt
Filed under: uncultured bacterium
Lineage: Bacteria
Description: partial 16S ribosomal RNA
Rfam family: Bacterial small subunit ribosomal RNA
Source: RNAcentral
GAUGAACGCUGGCGGCGUGCCUAAUACAUGCCAGUCGAGCGAACAGACGAGGAGCUUGCUCCUCUGACGUUAGCGGCGGACGGGUGAGUAACACGUGGAUAACCUACCUAUAAGACUGGGAUAACUUCGGGAAACCGGAGCUAAUACCGGAUAAUAUAUUGAACCGCAUGGUUCAAUAGUGAAAGACGGUUUUGCUGUCACUUAUAGAUGGAUCCGCGCCGCAUUAGCUAGUUGGUAAGGUAACGGCUUACCAAGGCAACGAUGCGUAGCCGACCUGAGAGGGUGAUCGGCCACACUGGAACUGAGACACGGUCCAGACUCCUACGGGAGGCAGCAGUAGGGAAUCUUCCGCAAUGGGCGAAAGCUUGACGGAGCACCGCCGCGUGAGUGAUGAAGGUCUUCGGAUCGUAAAACUCUGUUAUUAGGGAAGAACAAAUGUGUAAGUAACUAUGCACGUCUUGACGGUACCUAAUCAGAAAGCCACGGCUAACUACGUG